ACGGACGGCUGGAUGAUCGCGCCCUUCUUCGGAAGGUCGAGGAAAGUCCGGACUCCAUCACAGGCACGGUGCCGGGUAACGCCCGGCGGGGGCAACCCCAGGGACAGCGCCACAGAGAACAGACCGCCGGGCAGCGCUCGGCAAGGGUGAAACGGUGGGGUAAGAGCCCACCGCGCGAGCGGUAACGCAAGCGGCACGGCAAGCCCCACCGGGAGCAAUGCCAAAUAGGGGCCCUGCGCCGGAGCGAUCCGGCAGGGAUGCCUUGACCCCAGGGGCCCGGGUUGGCAGCCAGAGGGUCGUCGGCAACGGCGGCUUGAGACGAAUGAUCAUCCAUCCGCGCAUGUCGCGGGGGACAGAAUCCGGCUUACAGGCCGUCCGUGUCA
RNAcentral lists this RNase P RNA (383 nucleotides) under Salipiger sp. IMCC34102. RNAcentral describes it as "Bacterial RNase P class A". It matches the Rfam family "Bacterial RNase P class A". Rfam says of the family: Ribonuclease P (RNase P) is a ubiquitous endoribonuclease, found in archaea, bacteria and eukarya as well as chloroplasts and mitochondria. Lineage: Bacteria; Pseudomonadati; Pseudomonadota; Alphaproteobacteria; Rhodobacterales; Roseobacteraceae. The record is from Rfam by way of RNAcentral.